Molecule: ribosomal RNA, 670 nt
Filed under: Bacillus thuringiensis
Lineage: Bacteria; Bacillati; Bacillota; Bacilli; Caryophanales; Bacillaceae
Description: bacterial SSU rRNA
Rfam family: Bacterial small subunit ribosomal RNA
Source: RNAcentral
GAGCUUGCUCUCAAGAAGUUAGCGGCGGACGGGUGAGUAACACGUGGGUAACCUGCCCAUAAGACUGGGAUAACUCCGGGAAACCGGGGCUAAUACCGGAUAACAUUUUGAACUGCAUGGUUCGAAAUUGAAAGGCGGCUUCGGCUGUCACUUAUGGAUGGACCCGCGUCGCAUUAGCUAGUUGGUGAGGUAACGGCUCACCAAGGCAACGAUGCGUAGCCGACCUGAGAGGGUGAUCGGCCACACUGGGACUGAGACACGGCCCAGACUCCUACGGGAGGCAGCAGUAGGGAAUCUUCCGCAAUGGACGAAAGUCUGACGGAGCAACGCCGCGUGAGUGAUGAAGGCUUUCGGGUCGUAAAACUCUGUUGUUAGGGAAGAACAAGUGCUAGUUGAAUAAGCUGGCACCUUGACGGUACCUAACCAGAAAGCCACGGCUAACUACGUGCCAGCAGCCGCGGUAAUACGUAGGUGGCAAGCGUUAUCCGGAAUUAUUGGGCGUAAAGCGCGCGCAGGUGGUUUCUUAAGUCUGAUGUGAAAGCCCCGGCUCACCGUGGAGGGUCAUUGGAAACUGGAGACUUGAGUGCAGAGAAGAAAGUGGAAUUCAUGUGUAGCGGUGAAUGCGUAGAAUAUGGAGAACACCGUGCGAAGGCGACUUUUGGUCUGUACU